This 271-nucleotide ribosomal RNA is filed under the name uncultured prokaryote. Its description in RNAcentral is "partial 16S ribosomal RNA". It matches the Rfam family "Bacterial small subunit ribosomal RNA", at positions 524 to 794 of the family's 1533-position model. The record is from RNAcentral.
UACGGAGGAUCCGAGCGUUAUCCGGAUUUAUUGGGUUUAAAGGGUGCGCAGGCGGGAGAUUAAGUCGGCGGUGAAAUUUUGCAGCUUAACUGUAAAAGUGCCAUCGAUACUGGUUUCCUUGAGUGUAGAUGAAGUAGGCGGAAUUUGUGGUGUAGCGGUGAAAUGCAUAGAUAUCACGAGGAACUCCGAUUGCGCAGGCAGCUUACUAAACUACUACUGACGCUCAGGCACGAAGGCGUGGGGAUCAAACAGGAUUAGAUACCCGGGUAGU